GGAGCAGUCGCGGCUGUGUGUAGGAACAACAAUGGAGACUAUCUUGGAUCUUCGGCGUUCGUCAUUCGAGGCUUAAUAGAUCCGCCUACUCUAGAGGCUAUUGCAUGUAGAGAAGGUUUAUCUCUGGCUGAAGAUUUGGGGCUACAGAAUAUAGUGAUUGCGUCGGACUGUCAAGAAGUAGUGAAGCACAUCAUGGAAAAAUCAGGUGGAAACUAUGGUGGAGUGGUGAAAGAAAUAACUUCGUGGCAAUCUUUGUUUAGUUCCUGUUCUUUUAAGUUUGAAUCAAGAGUCUCAAAUUUUGAGCCUCACAAGUUAGCUAGGCAUGCUGUAAAGUUGGUUCAUGGCCGACAUAUUUGGCUGGGGCUACCACAUGACAUUUCUGUAAUACCGGUAGCAAUACCAACUCAUGAAUAA
RNAcentral lists this ribosomal RNA (414 nucleotides) under Triticum aestivum (bread wheat). RNAcentral's name for it is "partial small subunit ribosomal RNA". Lineage: Eukaryota; Viridiplantae; Streptophyta; Magnoliopsida; Poales; Poaceae. The record is from RNAcentral.